Molecule: ribosomal RNA, 981 nt
Filed under: Klebsiella pneumoniae
Lineage: Bacteria; Pseudomonadati; Pseudomonadota; Gammaproteobacteria; Enterobacterales; Enterobacteriaceae
Description: partial 23S ribosomal RNA
Rfam family: Bacterial large subunit ribosomal RNA
Source: RNAcentral
GUAAACGGCGGCCGUAACUAUAACGGUCCUAAGGUAGCGAAAUUCCUUGUCGGGUAAGUUCCGACCUGCACGAAUGGUGUAAUGAUCCGGACACUGUCUCGACCGUGAGCUCGGUGAAAUUGUAGUAUCGGUGAAGAUGCCGAUUACCCGCAACGGGACGAAAAGACCCCGUGAACCUUUACUGCAGCUUAGCAUUGGGGCCGGGUGUGCGAUGUGUAGGAUAGUCCGGAGACUGAGAAUCGGUGACGCCAGUCAUCGAGGAGUCGCUGUUGAAAUACGGGCCUUCGCACAUUUGGCUUCUAACGCGCUUGAAGCGCGGACAUUGCUUGGUGGGUAGUUUGACUGGGGUGGUCGCCUCCAAAAGCGUAACGGAGGCUCCUAAAGGUGCCCUCAGGCCGAUUGGCAACCGGCCGCAGAGUGCAAUGGCAUAAGGGCGCUUGACUGCGAGACAGACACGUCGAACAGGAAGGAAACUUGAGCAUAGUGAUCCGGCGGUUCCGCAUGGAAGGGCCGUCGCUCAAAGGAUAAAAGGUACUCCGGGGAUAACAGGCUGAUCCCUCCCAAGAGCUCAUAUCGACGGAGUGGUUUGGCACCUCGAUGUCGGCUCGUCACAUCCCGGGGCUGGAGAAGGUCCCAAGGGUUAGGCUGUUCGCCUAUUAAAGUGGCACGCGAGCUGGGUUCAGAACGUCGUGAGACAGUUCGGUCUCUAUCUGUUGUGGGCGUUGAGAUUUGCGGAGAUCCGGCACUAGUACGAGAGGACCGUGCUGGACAGACCUCCUGUGCGCCGGUUGUCCCGCCGAGGGGCACCGCCGGGUAGCAGCGUCUGGAGAGGAUAAGUGCUGAAAGCAUCUAAGCACGAAGCCGACUCCAAGAUUAGAUCUCGCCAAGGGCCGUCGGAGACUACGACGUCGAUAGGCCGCAGGUGCAAGCGUGGCGACACGUUCAGCCGAGCGGUACUAAUUGCCCGAACAUUCCGUGGAA